AAGCGUGGGAUCUUCGGACCACGUGCCAAAGGAUGAGCCCAUGUCUGAUUAGCUAGUUGGUGAGGUAAUGGCUCACCAAGGCGACGAUCAGUAGCCGGCCUGAGAGGGUGGACGGCCACACUGGGACUGAGACACGGCCCAGACUCCUACGGGAGGCAGCAGUGGGGAAUAUUGGACAAUGGGGGCAACCCUGAUCCAGCAAUGCCGCGUGUGUGAAGAAGGCCUGCGGGUUGUAAAGCACUUUUGUUGAGGAAGAAUGUGUUUGGGCUAAUAGUCCAAAUGCUUGACGUUACUCAAAGAAAAAGCACCGGCUAACUCCGUG
Molecule: ribosomal RNA, 322 nt
Filed under: uncultured bacterium
Lineage: Bacteria
Description: bacterial SSU rRNA
Rfam family: Bacterial small subunit ribosomal RNA
Source: RNAcentral